AUUCUUCAUGCACCUGCUCCUCCUUGUCCAAUUUUUUUUACAUUUUUAAUAGAAAUUUUGAAAAACUUUAAAAACUUUUUUUUUUAAGAAAUCCCUUACCAUAUACAGCUCUGGAGUGACUGGUUCCAGCUGGAGGCCCGCCCAUUAAAUGAAGGCUGGAGCGCCGUGGUGAGAGAGGUUCUCGCGUUUCUCCCAACAUCCAAGCAGUACGCCUGUGACAGCCACUUCAGUGACUUUGUGACAGUUGAAGUGGAGUGGGUAGGGGUGAGCUGCCGUUUCUUUUGAUCCCCUGUUUUCUCCUGUUUUGAGUAAGUUAAGCUGGUCAGACUCUGUCUUUAUCUUUGGCUCUUGUUGUGGUAAGGUUAGGUGUGUGGGAAUCAGUUUAGAUUAGUUUUGUUUAUUAUUUUGGCCUUAGCUCACCCCGACGUGUUGACACUCCCGUUUUGUUGUAUCUGUUUUAUCACUUUGUAAAUAAAUCACCUUUUAACGAAUUGAUUUGUUUCCUGUCACUGCUUCGCUCUUGUGGAGCGAGCGAGUGCUUCACUCAUGUUAUUGCCUGGCUCCUAAAUAAGAAGUCCAUUGCCAUGAACACUCUUAGUCUUGCUAAAACUUUAUGUAGUUUGAUUUUUUUAUUGACAUGUUUCUAUAUUAUAUUUUAUUUUUUCAGCUGCAAAAAAGUCAAAAAAAGAUCAAAAUAAGUGUUGUUACUUCAGAAAAUUAUUAUUUUUUGAUAGGCACAGUGAAGACUGACAGGAAAGUGGAGGAUGGAGAGAGGGGAAGACGGCCCGGGUUCGUCCACAGUCAGCAGAUCUCAGAUAGAGCACCUUUGGGAAGUGUUGGAACAAGAGAUUCACAUUGUGGAUGCGUAGCCAACAAAUCUGCAGCAGCUGUUUGAUGCUUUCAUGUCAGCGUCUGAGGAAUGUCCAAAAUAUGUCUAUGAAUUUAAUUCAUGCUAAAAGCAGGUUUUAGAGCCAUUCUUCUCACCCCUCCAGAUGUAAUUGAAUUUUCUGGAUUUGGGUUGAAUUCGCCACGAAGGUCAGUUCAUAACAAAGUGACAGUGUUUUGAAAUGUGUGCCUGUCAGUUCUAGCACCAGUCACAUGGUGGCGCCAUCUCUCAGCCAUCCUGUUCACGUAAUAAAUCCUUGGAUGAUAAAACAGCCACAGACACUGCGCAGGUUCAUUAGCUCUGUCCACUGUUGAGAAAACUGGGACAAUCUUAUGACCCGUCAUAAAGAUUAAGGUGUCUGAUCCCUUUGGACUGCGCAAUUGGUUACCCUGGUUACAUGUAGCAGUGAUAGGCUAUGCACAGCAACAAGCAACAGUUACAAGCUCAGCAUCUACCACAUACAGCGGUGCACUACAAACUGAAAUGAGACAGGGUUCCUCUGAGACCAUGGUGCUACAUGUAACAGUAAAUCAGCAGAGGACUGCAUAAAGUGCAAGUAUGCAAAAAUUUAAAACAAAACAGUUCAACAGAACGAUGCAUACACUAGUCGGUGCAAUAGAAACGUACAACAAUGACACUGGGUUGUGCAAAAAGUACCUGGGGUAAUGAAAUGAAUGUACAAACGUAUGUGUGUGAGAGUCUCUGAGUGAAGAUCAGAUAAAACCUGAUUUUGGAUGUUUAUGGUUUGUGUUAAUGUGUGUUCCUACGAGAAAAUAAAAUAAACCGUUCCCUCUUUUUAUUUUAAAGGAAA
Long non-coding RNA from Oreochromis niloticus (Nile tilapia), 1697 nucleotides. RefSeq lists it as uncharacterized. The transcript is spliced from 2 exons. NCBI's taxonomy places the organism in Eukaryota, Metazoa, Chordata, Actinopteri, Cichliformes, Cichlidae. The record is from RefSeq and is a predicted model, not a curated record.